This 692-nucleotide long non-coding RNA is filed under the name Homo sapiens (human). Its description in RNAcentral is "HSALNT0388489". Lineage: Eukaryota; Metazoa; Chordata; Mammalia; Primates; Hominidae. The record is from RNAcentral.
CUCUUCUUGACUCUUCUGAAGUUUUUCCUUGUUCCUGUCUCUCUUCCUCCUGUCUGCUGCAGCCUCACACACCAGACAGUUCUCAAGAUGUCCUUCGGGGGAGCCUCCAGGAAGACGAAGAAGAGGCACUAGGUGCAUGCCUACACAGAGGAAAGCCAUGUGAGGACACAGCGAUAAGAUUGCUGACUGCAAGCUCAGGAGAACUUAGAAGAAACCAACCCUACCAGCACCUUGAUCUUGGACUUCCAGCCUCCAGAACUGUGAGAAAGGAAUGGCAAGGAACCUGAGGAACCAGCGUGAGGAAAACCUGGAUGAUCUGACGUCUUCCUCACUUUAUCCCUACCUGUCCACGCCUCCAUCCAUCCACCCAUCCAUCACUGAUCAAGCUCUCACUAUGUCUAUAGUGUAGAAGGUGCCACCAAAUGCAAUGGAACCUCUUGUCUCAUGUGUCUACUUGCAUCUUUAAGUUGAUACACGGAAGGCACAGUCCAAGCACAGGAUACUGGAAGCUAUGGAGGUACAGUGGCCUCUGAGCAAACUGAAAACUCUCUAUCACUAAAGGGUUGGGCAUACAGGGUAUCUCCUCUGCUCUGCCACCUACCUUGAGGAUGCUUUACAUGUGGCUAAAAGUGGAGGCAGAGAUAUUUGGAUAAAUAAAUGCUAGAGAAUUGGAAAUUCCUAGGACAAGUCAA